UGGUCGCCAUUUUGUAUUAUAUUUCCCCAUAUAAAAUGCAUAGAUGCUUCAAUAAAGUUUAAUUUUCUCAUAAACCUGACCAGUUUUCUAAUAAAAUUGAGAAUGGAAAUGGGGAAUGUGCCAAAGAGAUAACAACCCGACCAUAGAAAAAAAAAAACAACAGCAGAAGGUCACCAACAGGUCUUCAAUGUAGCGAGAAAUUCCCGCACCCGGAGGCGUCCUUCAGCUGGCUCCUAAACAAAUAUAUACUAGUUCAGUGAUAAUGAACGCCAUACUAAUUUCCAAAUUGUACACAAGAAACUAAAAUUAAAAUAAUACAAGACUAACAAAGGCCAGAGGCUCCUGACUAGGGACAGGCGCAAAAAUGCGGCGGGGUUAAACAUGUUUGUGAGAUCUCAACCCUCCCCCUAUCAUGACCUCUAGCCAAUGUAGAAAAGUAAAAUUCUAAGUUUUGCAAAUCAAUCCUUGAUAUUCAAACAUAUCUUUAUCAAACAAUGUUGGUCCUAACAGUUUAAUUUUUGAUUAAAGUCGGUCAUUUUAGAC
RNAcentral lists this long non-coding RNA (543 nucleotides) under Mytilus galloprovincialis (Mediterranean mussel). Lineage: Eukaryota; Metazoa; Mollusca; Bivalvia; Mytilida; Mytilidae. The record is from RNAcentral.